UACGAAGGGGGGCUAGCGUUGUUCGGAUUUACUGGGCGUAAAGCGCACGUAGGCGGAUUGUUAAGUGAGAGGUGAAAAUCCCGGAGCUCAACUCCGGAACUGCCUUUCCAUACUGGCAAAUCUAGAGUCCGGAAGAGGUGAGUGGAACUCCUAGUGUAGAGGUGGAAUUCGUAGAUAUUAGGAAGAACACCAGUGGCGAAGGCGGCUCACUGGUCCGGUACUGACGCUGAGGUGCGAAAGCGUGGGGGAGCAAACAGG
RNAcentral lists this ribosomal RNA (258 nucleotides) under uncultured bacterium. RNAcentral describes it as "partial 16S ribosomal RNA". It matches the Rfam family "Bacterial small subunit ribosomal RNA", at positions 524 to 776 of the family's 1533-position model. The record is from RNAcentral.